UUCAUUUUUAUUUCAACCACUUUCAACAAAUGGCCAACAAUCAUUGAAAAGUGGCAACAGAGGGCAAAAUUCACAAAACAACCAAAGGAUUCACCAAGCCUGGUAUGGUCAGCAGAAACCACCACACCGACACUGAGUCAUAAGUAACACAGCCAGACUGCGUUGCCGUUAUAGCAACCGGAAAUCCUGUUUUUCUUUUCAGCCAUGACAAUAUUUUGCUACUGACAGUUGUAGACAAAACAGGGAUAUUUGUAAAGGAUAACAAACAACAAUUGUCGGUCUUGUUGCCCAUCUGCGAGGAUUUCGAUGAUGGAAUGGCUGGAGGGUGCAGCGUACAUACAUUGCACCAAAGUACUACAGCGAAGAAAAAUUGAAAAUAAUGCAAAGUUCAUCUGCUGUUGAAGGGAUCACAAAAACCUUCAGGAUAGGAUAACAUAAAAAGGCAAGGAGAAGAAAAUUUCAAUAGUACUUUUACUUUUUUUGAAAGGAAUUUUAACAAAUGCUGUAAAAUUUUCGAAUUAACGAUAAUAAAGGGAAUUUAAAAUUUAACUGCAAAAAGAAGCAGUUAUUUUUGUGAUUCCGAAACUUUUGAA
Long non-coding RNA from Stomoxys calcitrans (stable fly), 593 nucleotides. RefSeq lists it as uncharacterized. The record is from RefSeq and is a predicted model, not a curated record. Lineage: Eukaryota; Metazoa; Arthropoda; Insecta; Diptera; Muscidae. The transcript has 2 exons.